UGAUUAUUUGAGCUCUAGUUUUGAGCCCUCUAUAGCUGAUGGUGAUUUAAAAGCCACCAAGAAGCUUUCAAGUUCGCUUCACUCUUCCCUGUCUGAAAAUGAUUUACAAAGGAGUGAGGAUAAUCAAAGUAACAAGAGUUCAGUAAUAGAGGCCAAUAUGUUUGUUGAAUUUGGCCAUAAACCUAAGCGUCCCACUGUUUGGGGAUGGGCAAUUGCAAAGAAGAAGCUUUCUAUGGAACCUGUUCAUUUUCCUUCUAAAGAAGAGUAAGUGAUGUUCCCUUGAUCUGUAUAAAGAAGUUUUGCAUACAUUUUCCUGGAAAAACAAAAGAAGACACUGCAUGGGCAUUGUCAAGCUCUUCAGAAUGAUGUGUCAAGACUAGAGGAAGAGUUGCAUAGGGAAAGAGAUAAGAGGACAGCUCUGGAAGCUGGACUUACCCCCUCUCAAGGAACUGUAACUCUCCCAAAUACGGUUGAUGAAAAGAUAAAGGCAGAUAUUAAGCACAUAGCUCAAGUAGAGGCAGACAUAAACAAUUUGAACAAAAAGGUUGAUGAAUUGUGGAUGCAGCUGAAUCAA
Gossypium raimondii (Peruvian cotton) is the source of this 574-nucleotide long non-coding RNA. RefSeq lists it as uncharacterized. The transcript has 4 exons. Lineage: Eukaryota; Viridiplantae; Streptophyta; Magnoliopsida; Malvales; Malvaceae. The record is from RefSeq and is a predicted model, not a curated record.